ACGGAGGGUGCGAGCGUUAUCCGGAAUCACUGGGUUUAAAGGGUGCGUAGGCGGUUCUAUAAGUCAGAAGUGAAAGCACUGCGCUAAACGUGGUAAUUGCUUUUGAAACUAUUGGACUAGAAUUAGGAUGAGGCUGGCGGAAUGUGGCAUGUAGCGGUGAAAUGCAUAGAUAUGCCAUAGAACACCAAUUGCGAAGGCAGCUAGCUAGACCUUAAUUGACGCUGAGGCACGAAAGCGUGGGGAGCGAACAGG
This 252-nucleotide ribosomal RNA is filed under the name uncultured bacterium. RNAcentral's name for it is "partial 16S ribosomal RNA". It matches the Rfam family "Bacterial small subunit ribosomal RNA", at positions 525 to 776 of the family's 1533-position model. The record is from RNAcentral.